RNAcentral lists this long non-coding RNA (349 nucleotides) under Sorghum bicolor (sorghum). RNAcentral describes it as "long non-coding RNA (SBIC_LNC010624)". Lineage: Eukaryota; Viridiplantae; Streptophyta; Magnoliopsida; Poales; Poaceae. The record is from RNAcentral.
AAUGGUAUAUGCCUUCUCUCAAAGUAUGUGGUAUUUUUGGUAUGAGGCAUAGUGAUAUUUCCUUCUCUCUCACCCUACUCUAAUAAGGUUUUGAUAUCUGGAGCUCAUAGGUGGGAGACAGAUAAUACAUACUUACAAGACAUUUAUUGCAUAGUCAAACCAUGGAUCCAGAGAAACAAGUCAAUAAGUCAAAUCAAGAUGUGCAUGUGUGGCCAAUGAAUGGUGUAUGGUGAUGAUGGUGACAACAAUGGUGAAAGUCUAAUUCUACUUUUGCUCUUUUUAGGGGAUACAUACCUCUCUUGCACUUUGAAGCUUUUUUGAGGAGAAUGAGAUGCUCUACAUUUUCUUU